AAUGGGGUGUUAGAGAUGGAUGGGACUUGCAUGUCUCUAAUUGGCUUGCGCAGAAGUCAGGCGUUUGUGUACUCUUCUUAAACAUACUGUAUUGUGAUGGAAAUGGAGGCGUUCCUUCUCUUUCCUCCUGAGGUUCUCGAACGCCUCCAUAACAAUUUUUAGAUGAGCGACAUAAUGUAUGUGACAAAUGGAUGAACAGUGUUAAUUUUCUUUGUGAUCUAUGGAAGAGUUACUCCAUAUUUUAGAGAUACUGUAGUGCCAAAGACGAAGACGAGUCAAUCCUACCCUGUAUCAAAUCACAGACAAUGCCUGAGAGAACUCUGAAAACAUCUAUGAAUCCCUCAUUCAGAUUUUAUUCCUGCAAUUUAUCUUUCCAAACUGAUGAAUACGGGCCACUUCAGCUGCAGUAUGACUUUUAAGGACACAAGGAAAAGGAAACCUCUUUAUCCUGAAACAGCUGUGGAAUGGCCAAAAACUUGCAAACUUGACACUUGGAUUAGCAUCUGGAACUCACAUUUGCCUUGGAAUACCUGGCGAGGGGAGUAAGACUGGCAGAAAGCUUCUUCAUACCCUUGGCAGGCAUCAGAAAAGGAUCUGCAGAAUCACAGAUAGACAAGAAUGAACUUCAAUACAUAUCAAGAUGCCAGAAGGGAAGAUCACUUAAGAAUAAUAAAGGAGAAAGGACAUUAAUUGUGACUUGAAAAUUUAUUAUCAAUACUGAUAGUUUGGCAGAUUCUUCCAGUUGCAUCCUAAGGAUUUCCUCCUGCACAAUGUACAUUUUAACAGAUGCCAUCCAGAUGAAAACAAUCAAUCCUACAAUUUUCCAGUAGAUUGUACUAUCCAAUCACUCAAUAUGCAACAAAAGAACAUGACUCCCUACACAAGAAUGAUGGCAUAUAAAGCAUGCCAAGGUACGAAGUCAACAUUUCAACUCUUCUUCCAGGAAAGAAGAGGCUGCCUAUUUAUUGUGAAAGCCCUUUGUCCACAUAUUUGAAAGGAAUGUUGAAUGAACAUCUAUCUUAUCUAAAGAUAAAGCAGUGGAGAAAUUAUAAAUGGAAUUGCGGUUUCAUUAAUCACUAAGGUGCAAUGCAUGAGUUGUACCAGAUGUGAAUGGAAAUGCAGGUAUUCCUCAACUUACAGCCACAGUUGAGCCCAACAUUUCUGUUGUUAAGUAAGACAUUUGUUAAGUGAGUUUUGCCCCAUU
Ahaetulla prasina is the source of this 1204-nucleotide long non-coding RNA. RefSeq lists it as uncharacterized. Lineage: Eukaryota; Metazoa; Chordata; Lepidosauria; Squamata; Colubridae. The transcript is spliced from 5 exons. The record is from RefSeq and is a predicted model, not a curated record.